RNAcentral lists this microRNA precursor (74 nucleotides) under Notamacropus eugenii (tammar wallaby). RNAcentral describes it as "miRNA (ENSMEUG00000017413.1)". The record is from RNAcentral. Lineage: Eukaryota; Metazoa; Chordata; Mammalia; Diprotodontia; Macropodidae.
UUAUUCUCUCUCCCCUACCACCUCCCUCUUCCCUGCCCUAGUGCAGGCACGGAGAGGGUGGGGGGGCCGACAAG